GACGAACGCUGGCGGCGUGCUUAACACAUGCAAGUCGAACGGACGAGUGAGAUAAGUUUACUUAACUCACAAGUUAGUGGCGGACGGGUGAGUAACACGUGGAUAAUCUACCUGCAACACCGGGAUAACGCUGUGAAAACGGUGCUAAUACCGGAUACGUUCCCUUGUGCGCAUGUAUGAGGGAAGAAAGCUCAGGCGGUUGCAGAUGAGUCCGCGGCUGAUUAGCUAGUUGGUGAGGUAAAGGCUCACCAAGGCGAUGAUCAGUAGCCGGCCUGAGAGGGUGAACGGCCACACUGGGACUGAGACACGGCCCAGACUCCUACGGGAGGCAGCAGUGGGGAAUCUUCCGCAAUGGGCGCAAGCCUGACGGAGCAACGCCGCGUGGGUGAAGAAGGCCUUCGGGUUGUAAAGCCCUGUCUUAUGGGAAGAAGUCAGUGACGGUACCAUAGGAGGAAGCCACGGCUAACUACGUGCCAGCAGCCGCGGUAAAAGUACUCUA
RNAcentral lists this ribosomal RNA (499 nucleotides) under uncultured bacterium. Its description in RNAcentral is "bacterial SSU rRNA". It matches the Rfam family "Bacterial small subunit ribosomal RNA", at positions 28 to 533 of the family's 1533-position model. The record is from RNAcentral.